This 200-nucleotide ribosomal RNA is filed under the name uncultured eukaryote. Its description in RNAcentral is "partial 18S ribosomal RNA". It matches the Rfam family "Eukaryotic small subunit ribosomal RNA", at positions 588 to 825 of the family's 1831-position model. The record is from RNAcentral.
GCUCCAAUAGCGUAUAUUAAAGUUGUUGCAGUUAAAAAGCUCGUAGUUCAACUUCUGCCCCGGGGCCGAGAGGCGACUCGGAGGUCCGGGGCAUCCGUCCGCACCACGCUUCGACGUGAGGGCGGGCAGUUUACCUUGAGAAAAUUAGAGUGUUCAAGGCAGGCGUAGCCAGAAUACAUUAGCAUGGAAUAAUGGAAGAG